RNAcentral lists this ribosomal RNA (403 nucleotides) under Enterobacteriaceae bacterium. Its description in RNAcentral is "bacterial SSU rRNA". It matches the Rfam family "Bacterial small subunit ribosomal RNA", at positions 394 to 789 of the family's 1533-position model. The record is from RNAcentral. Lineage: Bacteria; Pseudomonadati; Pseudomonadota; Gammaproteobacteria; Enterobacterales; Enterobacteriaceae.
AUGCCGCGUGUAUGAAGAAGGCCUUCGGGUUGUAAAGUACUUUCAGCGGGGAGGAAGGGAGUAAAGUUAAUACCUUUGCUCAUUGACGUUACCCGCAGAAGAAGCACCGGCUAACUCCGUGCCAGCAGCCGCGGUAAUACGGAGGGUGCAAGCGUUAAUCGGAAUUACUGGGCGUAAAGCGCACGCAGGCGGUUUGUUAAGUCAGAUGUGAAAUCCCCGGGCUCAACCUGGGAACUGCAUCUGAUACUGGCAAGCUUGAGUCUCGUAGAGGGGGGUAGAAUUCCAGGUGUAGCGGUGAAAUGCGUAGAGAUCUGGAGGAAUACCGGUGGCGAAGGCGGCCCCCUGGACGAAGACUGACGCUCAGGUGCGAAAGCGUGGGGAGCAAACAGGAUUAGAUACCCCC